GAGGAUAUAGCUCAAUGGUAGAGUGUAUACCUACCAUGCUAUGAGGUCCUGGGUUCAAUCCCCAGUACCUCCA
Molecule: transfer RNA, 73 nt
Filed under: Camelus bactrianus (Bactrian camel)
Lineage: Eukaryota; Metazoa; Chordata; Mammalia; Artiodactyla; Camelidae
Also listed under: 2 other names
Rfam family: tRNA
About the family: Transfer RNA (tRNA) molecules are approximately 80 nucleotides in length.
Source: Rfam by way of RNAcentral